GGGGGCGACACGGUUUCGACGGAAGCUGUCGCGGCCCGAAGGCAUGCCGGGUGCCACCUGCCCGCAAUCGGGUGGAACGUUACAACUGCCAACUCGCAGUUGCCUCUCGCUGCCUAAUUAAACCUAGGUAGCGCGUCUCCUCGGGCGUUGUCUGCGCGCUUGAGAUGAGGCGUCAUACAGCAGGCUGGCUGGCGCUUUUCGGUCCGUAACGCGCCGGUAAGAUUAUCGGACUAGUCGGCGGCGCGUCUUGCUCGCUCUGAGCUUCGCCGACGAACUUGCGGCCUGCCCUCACGGGUCGGUUGCGACCGGAACGAGCUAAGCAUGUAGUCUUCGGGUGGCAAGGCUUCUCGGACGGGGGUUCGACUCCCCCCGCCUCCACCA
RNAcentral lists this transfer-messenger RNA (381 nucleotides) under Acidobacteriota bacterium. It matches the Rfam family "transfer-messenger RNA". From Rfam's summary of the family: Bacterial tmRNA, also known as 10Sa RNA or SsrA, is named for its dual tRNA and mRNA-like properties. The record is from RNAcentral. Lineage: Bacteria; Pseudomonadati; Acidobacteriota.